ACCAUGCCGCGUGAGUGAUGAAGGGCUUAGGGUUGUAAAGCUCUUUUAUCCGGGACGAUAAUGACGGUACCGGAGGAAUAAGCCCCGGCUAACUUCGUGCCAGCAGCCGCGGUAAUACGAAGGGGGCUAGCGUUGCUCGGAAUCACUGGGCGUAAAGGGCGCGUAGGCGGCGUUUUAAGUCGGGGGUGAAAGCCUGUGGCUCAACCACAGAAUUGCCUUCGAUACUGGGACGCUUGAGUAUGGUAGAGGUUGGUGGAACUGCGAGUGUAGAGGUGAAAUUCGUAGAUAUUCGCAAGAACACCGGUGGCGAAGGCGGCCAACUGGACCAUUACUGACGCUGAGGCGCGAAAGCGUGGGGAGCAAACAGGAUUAGAUACCCUGGUAGUC
RNAcentral lists this ribosomal RNA (387 nucleotides) under uncultured Methylobacterium sp. Its description in RNAcentral is "bacterial SSU rRNA". It matches the Rfam family "Bacterial small subunit ribosomal RNA", at positions 391 to 795 of the family's 1533-position model. Lineage: Bacteria; Pseudomonadati; Pseudomonadota; Alphaproteobacteria; Hyphomicrobiales; Methylobacteriaceae. The record is from RNAcentral.